GCUUGGGUGGCUCAGUUGGCUGGGCAUCUGACUUCGGCUCAGGUCAUGAUCUCAUGGUUCGUGGGUUGGAGUCCUGCCUUGGGCU
RNAcentral lists this transfer RNA (85 nucleotides) under Felis catus (domestic cat). It matches the Rfam family "tRNA". From Rfam's summary of the family: Transfer RNA (tRNA) molecules are approximately 80 nucleotides in length. Their secondary structure includes four short double-helical elements and three loops (D, anti-codon, and T loops). Further hydrogen bonds mediate the characteristic L-shaped molecular structure. tRNAs have two regions of fundamental functional importance: the anti-codon, which is responsible for specific mRNA codon recognition, and the 3' end, to which the tRNAs corresponding amino acid is attached (by aminoacyl-tRNA synthetases). tRNAs cope with the degeneracy of the genetic code in two manners: having more than one tRNA (with a specific anti-codon) for a particular amino acid; and 'wobble' base-pairing, i.e. permitting non-standard base-pairing at the 3rd anti-codon position. The record is from Rfam by way of RNAcentral. Lineage: Eukaryota; Metazoa; Chordata; Mammalia; Carnivora; Felidae.